UACGUAGGGGGCAAGCGUUGUCCGGAAUCAUUGGGCGUAAAGCGCGUGUAGGCGGCCUUGUAAGUCCGUUCUGAAAGUCCGGGGCUCAACCCCGGGAGGCGGAUGGAUACUGCAAGGCUCGAGUACGGAAGAGGCGAGUGGAAUUCCCGGUGUAGCGGUGAAAUGCGCAGAUAUCGGGAGGAACACCGAUGGCGAAGGCAGCUCGCUGGGACGUUACUGACGCUGAGACGCGAAAGCGUGGGGAGCAAACAGG
RNAcentral lists this ribosomal RNA (253 nucleotides) under uncultured bacterium. Its description in RNAcentral is "partial 16S ribosomal RNA". It matches the Rfam family "Bacterial small subunit ribosomal RNA", at positions 524 to 776 of the family's 1533-position model. The record is from RNAcentral.